GACGUGGUGGUGAAAUUGGAAUAACACACCGCACUUUCACUGCGGGAUUUGCGAGUUCGAGCCUCGUCCACGUCA
RNAcentral lists this transfer RNA (75 nucleotides) under Paenibacillus sp. 1182. RNAcentral's name for it is "tRNA-Glu". It matches the Rfam family "tRNA". From Rfam's summary of the family: Transfer RNA (tRNA) molecules are approximately 80 nucleotides in length. Lineage: Bacteria; Bacillati; Bacillota; Bacilli; Caryophanales; Paenibacillaceae. The record is from RNAcentral.